UACGUAGGGUGCGAGCGUUAAUCGGAAUUACUGGGCGUAAAGCGUGCGCAGGCGGUCAUGCAAGACAGAUGUGAAAUCCCUGGGCUCAACCUGGGAACUGCAUAUGUGACUGUAUGGCUGGAGUACGGCAGAGGGGGAUGGAAUUCCGCGUGUAGCAGUGAAAUGCGUAGAUAUGCGGAGGAACACCGAUGGCGAAGGCAAUCCCCUGGGCCUGUACUGACGCUCAAGCACGAAAGCGUGGGGAGCAAACAGG
This 253-nucleotide ribosomal RNA is filed under the name uncultured bacterium. RNAcentral describes it as "partial 16S ribosomal RNA". It matches the Rfam family "Bacterial small subunit ribosomal RNA", at positions 524 to 776 of the family's 1533-position model. The record is from RNAcentral.